RNAcentral lists this ribosomal RNA (468 nucleotides) under uncultured bacterium. RNAcentral's name for it is "partial 16S ribosomal RNA". It matches the Rfam family "Bacterial small subunit ribosomal RNA", at positions 28 to 507 of the family's 1533-position model. The record is from RNAcentral.
GACGAACGCUGGCGGCGUGCUUAACACAUGCAAGUCGAACGGAAAGGCCCUGCUGGUGUGGGGUGCUCGAGUGGCGAACGGGUGAGUAACACGUGAGUAACCUGCCCUUGACUUUGGGAUAACGUCAGGAAACUGGGGAUAAUACCGGAUAGGAGCUCCUGCUGCAUGGUGGGGGUUGGAAAGUUUCGGCGGGUGGGGAUGGACUCGCGGCUGAUCAGCUUGUUGGUGGGGUAGUGGCUUACCAAGGCUUUGACGGGUAGCCGGCCUGAGAGGGUGACCGGGCACAUUGGGACUGAGAUACGGCCCAGACUGCUACGGGAGGCAGCAGUGGGGAAUAUUGCACAGUGGGCGGAAGCCUGAUGCAGCAACGCCGCGUGCGGGAUGACGGCCUUCGGGUUGUAAACCGCUUUCGCCUGUGACGAAGCGUGAGUGACGGUAAUGGGUAAAGAAGCACCGGCUAACUACGUG